CAUGGAGGGUGAGAAUCCCGUCCGGUUGAUCAUUUGCGUUUUAUGAUACGCUUUCUAAGAGUCAAGUUGUUUGGGAUUGCAGCUUAAAAUGGGAGGUAAAUUUCUCCUAAGGCUAAAUAACGGCGAGAGACCGAUAGCGAACAAGUACCGUGAGGGAAAGAUGAAAAGAACUUUGAAAAGAGAGUUAAACAGUACGUGAAAUUGUUGAAAGGGAAACGAUUGAAGCCAGUCGUACCUUCGGGUAAUCAGCCUUUUCGGGUGCGAUUCUGUGGGGUUUGAUGAGCUUAACACCUUCAUGCUCUGCAUAUUCGUGCUCUUGGGUGUACUUGCCCGUGUGGUUGGUUAACAUCAAUUUUGGUGGUCAUAAAAUGACUGGAGGAAUGUAGCUUCGAUCUUGUAUUGAAGUGUUAUAGCCUUCGGUAGAUGUGAUGAACGAGAUUGAGGAUUGCAACGGAUACCCUUUGGGGCUACCUGUCUGGUCUCUGAUCGUUGCUCUGGUGCCGAAAGCUUGCUUACGGUUAUCAAAGUCGAUGGUCAAUAGGUUAGAACGGGUUAAAUUCGUUAAGGAUGUUGACGUAAUGG
This 582-nucleotide ribosomal RNA is filed under the name uncultured Glomus. RNAcentral describes it as "eukaryotic LSU rRNA". It matches the Rfam family "Eukaryotic large subunit ribosomal RNA", at positions 204 to 637 of the family's 3401-position model. Lineage: Eukaryota; Fungi; Glomeromycota; Glomeromycetes; Glomerales; Glomeraceae. The record is from RNAcentral.